This 464-nucleotide ribosomal RNA is filed under the name Vreelandella stevensii. Its description in RNAcentral is "partial 16S ribosomal RNA". It matches the Rfam family "Bacterial small subunit ribosomal RNA", at positions 338 to 795 of the family's 1533-position model. Lineage: Bacteria; Pseudomonadati; Pseudomonadota; Gammaproteobacteria; Oceanospirillales; Halomonadaceae. The record is from RNAcentral.
CCUACGGGUGGCAGCAGCGGGGAAUAUUGGACAAUGGGCGAAAGCCUGAUCCAGCCAUGCCGCGUGUGUGAAGAAGGCCUUCGGGUUGUAAAGCACUUUCAGUGGGGAAGAAAGCCUUGGGGCUAAUACCCUCGAGGAAGGACAUCACCCACAGAAGAAGCACCGGCUAACUCCGUGCCAGCAGCCGCGGUAAUACGGAGGGUGCGAGCGUUAAUCGGAAUUACUGGGCGUAAAGCGCGCGUAGGCGGUCUGAUAAGCCGGUUGUGAAAGCCCCGGGCUCAACCUGGGAACGGCAUCCGGAACUGUCAGGCUAGAGUGCAGGAGAGGAAGGUAGAAUUCCCGGUGUAGCGGUGAAAUGCGUAGAGAUCGGGAGGAAUACCAGUGGCGAAGGCGGCCUUCUGGACUGACACUGACGCUGAGGUGCGAAAGCGUGGGUAGCAAACAGGAUUAGAUACCCUAUAGUC